UGUGAUCGUUGUCAGUUGAUGCCAGCUGCACAUCAAAGAUGCAGAGCCUUAUAACAAAAAUCGCCACUGAGAAGCUGAGCACCUACGCUGCUGUCAUAUCUAUCUUCACCUACACUAUUUUGCUCGACAGGGAUUUUGCCUGCACCUGCAAACCACAAGCCUCGAUCUGCUUCCUGUACAUGUUUCUGCCACCCUUUAUCAUUUUUUUAUUAAUACUUUUGUUGGACAGUUCGUUCCAAAGUGUCUGUAAAUACUAUUCCUCGCAUUGUAAAUGCCUCUGCGGUCUUUGCUGUUUUUAUGCCCAUCAUUUUUUAAGGGCAUUAUUAGUCGGCUUGCUGUGGGUUGCUUUUUUGUUCCUCGAUGGAGACUGGUAUGUUUGCUGUCAGAAUGACGGCUCUGAACAACAGGCAAAGUUAGCCUGCGUAGCUGAGAAGGAUAUCAAAGACAACGAGAAAGUUCUUAAAGCUGAACUGAAGAACACAUCCCGGGCUAUCGGUGGCUGGAUUCUAUCUGGAAUUAUUUUAGUGGCUUUCAUCUUGCCAUUCUGUGUCAGAUCGAAAUGCUGGGGGAAAAAAAAACAUUCUGCCAACAAAAGAUUUCUGUAUGACAAACUGAUUAUAAUGGAGGAGGGCAAUGUGCUGAAAGAGGUUCUGAGGAAUUCAGCAAAGGAGAAGUUGACUGAAGGAAUCAAGAGCAAAAUCCGUGAAAAACGAAGGGAAGAGUGUUUCGAAGUUGCCAGAGAGCUGAUUGAAAAAGACCCGCGAGAAGAUGAGCUCCAACCGCUAGGGGCACAAGAAGCAGAGACCUAGCCUCUUUGUCCAGUCCAGUUGACACGCAUCCUAUCUGUUCCUGCCGGUACCGACUAGACUGGACGAUCAUUGAGGAGGCACACCUGGAAGAGUUCUGUCUCUCCAUGGUUUCAUGAUCUGUUGCUGACUACAGAGUUUAAGUGAAGUCAGCAGCUCCCAGUACGACUGGAAAAUGUUAUAGAUGCCAUUGCUCCCACCAAGGUAAAGGAAGUGUCUGGCAAGAAAAUAUCUCCAUGCAGAAAGGCCAUGACCUGCUAAAUGCAGGUGGCGAAAAACAAAUCUCCAUUUUGAAAUCUAUAAAGAGAGACUUGGCUUUUAUCAUUUGGAAUUGAAAAAUGCAUAAAAGUCUUUCU
Long non-coding RNA from Trematomus bernacchii (emerald rockcod), 1162 nucleotides. RefSeq lists it as uncharacterized. The transcript is spliced from 3 exons. The record is from RefSeq and is a predicted model, not a curated record. Lineage: Eukaryota; Metazoa; Chordata; Actinopteri; Perciformes; Nototheniidae.